This 481-nucleotide ribosomal RNA is filed under the name uncultured organism. RNAcentral describes it as "bacterial SSU rRNA". It matches the Rfam family "Bacterial small subunit ribosomal RNA", at positions 28 to 507 of the family's 1533-position model. The record is from RNAcentral.
GAUGAACGCUAGCGGCAGGCUUAAUACAUGCAAGUCGAACGGUAAGGUCUCUUCGGAGAUACACGAGUGGCGCACGGGUGAGGAACACGUACACAAUCUACCUUAUACUGGAGAAUACCCUUGGGAAACUGGGAUUAAUACUCCAUAGUCUUUAAUGAUCACAUGAGAAAUAAAGUAAAGCUCCGGCGGUAUAAGAUGAGUGUGCGUCCCAUUAGAUAGUUGGUGAGGUAACGGCUCACCAAGUCCGCGAUGGGUAGCUGGCGUGAGAGCGCGACCAGCCACACUGGCACUGAGACACGGGCCAGACUCCUACGGGAGGCAGCAGUAGGGAAUAUUGGUCAAUGGGCGAAAGCCUGAACCAGCCAUGCCGCGUGGAGGAUGACUGCCCUCUGGGUUGUAAACUCCUUUUAUACAGGAAGAAACCUUUGGAUUUACUCCGAAGCUGACGGUACUGUAUGAAUAAGCACCGGCUAACUCCGUG